This is a small nuclear RNA of Arvicanthis niloticus (Nile rat), 165 nucleotides long. RefSeq annotates it as U1 spliceosomal RNA. The record is from RefSeq and is a predicted model, not a curated record. Lineage: Eukaryota; Metazoa; Chordata; Mammalia; Rodentia; Muridae.
AUACUAACCUGGCACGGGAGAUAUCAUGAUUACGAAUGUGGUUUCUCUAGGGAAACGAUUGUUAAUUGUACUCUAAAUGUGCUGUCCACUGUGAUUUUUCACAAAUGUAGGAAAUUCAACUGCAUAAUUUGUGGUAGUGGAAGACUGCAUUCAUUCUCUCCCCUG